UCAUUCUUGUGGCCCUCCUGUGGACGCGCUCCAGCCUGUCCGUGUCUCAGCUGCCCUGAGGACUCCGCAUCCGGACGCAGUGCCUCAGCGGGCAGUCGCUCAAGGCGCACCACAGCGCGGCGGCCACCUGGUGGCACCCGUGCUGCGCCCUCGGCGGCCGCGGGCGGAGUGAGGCGGGGCUGCCCCGGCGGCCAUGGCACAGCCGUCGCACCGUCGCAGCUGCUGGGGGCUGCUUGUCGGCGCUUGCUGUGUCGAGAGGGGCCUUGCCUCUCCCAGAACGGCCCGGAGGAGAGCGCAGUUCGCGCAAGAGGCGAAAGGGGGCAGUAAGGCCCCGUGGAGAUUCUGUGAACAGGAGAUUCCAGCUGGAGCGCUGAGCUUGGGUCUGAACUAGUAGAGACAGAAAGUGCUAUCCCUUGGAACCCAGAAUGCCUUCUGGCUUUGAAGCCCAGUGUCCCUGGGGUGGCUUCUGUCCAUACUGUUCAAACCUAUGCGUGAGUCUAGCUAGGAGUCCAGCUGCGGUCCCUAGGCACAGAGCUGGUGAUAGUCCACUGGGGCACCACCAUCAUACGGAUGCAUCAGUUACAGCAACAAAGACACUUUAUAGAUACGGUCAGCUGGAGUCCUGCCUCAGUGCCACAACUACCAGUUAGAAUACCCCUUUCUUCACAGCCUCUCUCUGGGUAUAACUGGAAGAUAAAUCAGACUGCAGUCUCAGUACAUCUUGCCCCUGAAUCACAGAAAAUAAUUUCAGCAGACCCUGGAUUAUGCCCUCAUUUUGCUGUUCAGUGGCUAUGGACUAUUUUAUGUCUUUCAGGGAAAAGAACACUCUUCUGCAUUUCAUGUAUAUAAAAGGUAUUACUGAAAGCCAGUCCUGGCCUUCUAGGCAGUAUUUGAAAACAGAAAUCUGCAGCAUGACCUGAGACCAGGCUAAACUCAUACUUAUUAAGCAAAUGCUUCUCCUUCUUGGCUGCUUUAAUGAAGGGGAGGAGGCCUUUUCUUCUCCAGAGCAAUUCAGCUUCUCCCUUACUGUGAAUUAACCUCUGAGAAAAUGUUUGGAGCAGAGGAAAACCUUAUCUCAGGUGUUCUGCUCUUAAAACAGGAAAAGUCUACUUCCAACUAGAAAAACUCAGCUGCUUAUCCCACUGCACAAACACAAAUAAAAGCAAAACUGCAGAUGGAAACUUAAGAACUGCAAAAGGAGCUAUUUACACUAUCUUUCACGCUGUGAGGUAGAGCAAAUGACUGAAAUGAUUUUCUUAUGUACAUUUAUUUAAUUUCCUGAUUCAAAGAAAAGAUUAUGACAAUAAAUUCCAGGAGGUGUUAAAUUGUGUUUUUCCCUGCUGAUUGUCAUAGUACUGCACCUUAUGUGAAUAGGUUGGGGUACAAG
Numida meleagris (helmeted guineafowl) is the source of this 1387-nucleotide long non-coding RNA. RefSeq lists it as uncharacterized. Lineage: Eukaryota; Metazoa; Chordata; Aves; Galliformes; Numididae. The record is from RefSeq and is a predicted model, not a curated record. The transcript has 3 exons.